RNAcentral lists this transfer RNA (73 nucleotides) under Candidatus Methylacidithermus pantelleriae. It matches the Rfam family "tRNA". Rfam says of the family: Transfer RNA (tRNA) molecules are approximately 80 nucleotides in length. Their secondary structure includes four short double-helical elements and three loops (D, anti-codon, and T loops). Lineage: Bacteria; Pseudomonadati; Verrucomicrobiota; Methylacidiphilae; Methylacidiphilales; Methylacidiphilaceae. The record is from Rfam by way of RNAcentral.
GCCGCUUUAGCUCAGCUGGUAGAGCAGCGCUUUCGUAAAGCGCGGGUCGUGGGUUCGAAUCCCACAAGCGGCU